AACCCUAGCGCGCGCCACUCUCCCUGGCAGCCGCCGCCAGGAAGCCUCCACUCCUUCUCCCCUUCUCUCCUCCCCUUGCUCUUCUCUGGCCGACGCCACUUGCGUGUGCAGGCAGGCAGGCCCUGGCGUCCGCGCAUCCUCUUCUGGCCAGGAGCUCCCCCACGCAGCCGCUGCUCUCUCCACGUCCUCUAUUCCUUCCCAUCCCCGAUCUCCCCCAAUCCGAGCAGACCGGCAGAGCCGGGGGGCGGCGAUGGCGCUGCGACGGGCGCUCCUCAGAUCAGCAGAGACCUCUUUCGAACGCAAGUAGCCGGGAGAUUCGGGAUCCCGCGCGCGAGUUGGGCUUGGCCAGCUGGCGUCGUAGCCGCACUCUAGGACAUGCGAGGUUCAAUUGUGAACUGAGAGUCUGAACCUGGUGUAAACGGGGAAGAGCCGGUGGGCGAGGUGGAGCGGGUCGUCGUCCUGGAUGUCGCCGAGGACAUCCGGUUGUCGCUUGCUCAUGGCGUUAGGCUGGUUGCUUCCUCAAAGCGAGCGGCGCAUCAACUAUUUAUCUACGUCCUGGAUAAUCGAAUUGCUUUGCCGUGGAAGCAAAAGGGCGGAGGCGGCGAGUGCUGCGACGACGGCAGCGACACCCGGUGGUGGCCGCCGUGGCUGAGGCCGCUGCUGUCCGUGUGCUUCUUCGUCCAAUGCAGGGUCCACACCGACGCGCACAAGAGCGAGUGCAACAUGUACUGCCUCGACUGCAUGGGCGACGCUCUCUGCGCGCUCUGCCUCGCCGCGCGCCACCGCGACCACCACUCCAUCCAGGUCAGUGGAGAGCCUAGCGCUGUGCGCAGACUAGUGCAGUUCGGCAGUUCAGGCGGCUGCGUCCUCGUUCCCCAGUGCCUCUGCCUCCAGCACAUUUCAUUCCCCUCCAAUCCAUCGCCUGUUCCAUCCGUCUCUUUGAUGGGUAUCAGUGGAGAAAGUACGGGCAGAAGUGGAUCUCCAAAGCAAAGCAUUCUAGGCUGCAAUUGAGUACAUUCAUUCUUUAUCAAGGGCACAGCCUGCUCGUUCUCUCAAUUGUGCUGGCCUUUGUCCUGCUAGUAGAUCACUUAGCACUCAGGCCGCCACUACGUCAAGCACACCACAGUUGAAAGCACACCCCACGUCAAGCAGCCAGGCCGCCACUACGUUAAGCAAAACAGAAGACGAGAAGAACUGAUGUAGCCAUGUUUAUGCUUCCACUGUUGAAAUGCAUAUUCAGCAUAGCUUACUCAGUUCCUAUCUGCUGUUUCAACGUUGAUUUAAAAGAAGAGCUGGUAGUUGUGAACUAUCUGUAAAUGAUCUAGUUGUGAAUGAUAUUAUAAUUGUGAUGCUUUUGUGAA
Molecule: RNA transcript, 1361 nt
Organism: Zea mays
Lineage: Eukaryota; Viridiplantae; Streptophyta; Magnoliopsida; Poales; Poaceae
Exons: 4
Source: RefSeq, a predicted model, not a curated record